AACGUCGUGAGACAGUUUGGUCCCUAUCUGCCGUGGGUGUUCGAGAAUUGAGAGGAGCUGCUCCUAGUACGAGAGGACCGGAGUGGACAUGUCACUAGUGUACCGGUUGUGACGCCAGUUGCAGCGCCGGGUAGCCAUAACAUGGAAGAGAUAACCGCUGAAAGCAUCUAAGCGGGAAACUCGCCUCGAAACUAGUUCUCGCCAUUAGGGCCGUGGAAGAUCACCACGUUGAUAGGCCGGAUGUGGAAGCGCAGUAAUGCGUGCAGCUAACCGGUACUAAUAGCCCGAUCGGCUUAAUACA
This 301-nucleotide ribosomal RNA is filed under the name Holosporaceae bacterium. RNAcentral's name for it is "partial 23S ribosomal RNA". It matches the Rfam family "Bacterial large subunit ribosomal RNA", at positions 2615 to 2925 of the family's 2925-position model. The record is from RNAcentral. Lineage: Bacteria; Pseudomonadati; Pseudomonadota; Alphaproteobacteria; Holosporales; Holosporaceae.